UACGUAGGGCGCAAGCGUUGUCCGGAAUUAUUGGGCGUAAAGAGCUCGUAGGCGGUCUGUCGCGUCUGCCGUGAAAACCCGAGGCUUAACCUCGUGGCUUGCGGUGGAUACGGGCAGACUAGAGGUAGGUAGGGGAGAAUGGAAUUCCCGGUGUAGCGGUGAAAUGCGCAGAUAUCAGGAGGAACACCGGUGGCGAAGGCGGUUCUCUGGGCAUUACCUGACGCUGAGGAGCGAAAGUGUGGGGAGCGAACAGG
This 254-nucleotide ribosomal RNA is filed under the name uncultured prokaryote. Its description in RNAcentral is "partial 16S ribosomal RNA". It matches the Rfam family "Bacterial small subunit ribosomal RNA", at positions 524 to 776 of the family's 1533-position model. The record is from RNAcentral.